Molecule: ribosomal RNA, 432 nt
Filed under: uncultured bacterium
Lineage: Bacteria
Description: partial 16S ribosomal RNA
Rfam family: Bacterial small subunit ribosomal RNA
Source: RNAcentral
CCUACGGGAGGCAGCAGUAAGGAAUAUUGGUCAAUGGACGCAAGUCUGAACCAGCCAUGCCGCGUGAAGGAUGACGGCCUCUGGGUUGUAAACUUCUUUUAUGUGGGACGCGGUACCAUAUGAAUAAGCACCGGCUAACUCCGUGCCAGCAGCCGCGGUAAUACGGAGGGUGCAAGCGUUAUCCGGAUUCACUGGGUUUAAAGGGAGCGCAGGCGGAUUGGUAAGUCAGUGGUGAAAGGCUUAAGCUUAACUUGGGAACUGCCAUUGAUACUAUCAGUCUUGAAUGUUGUUGAGGUUUGCGGAAUGGGUCAUGUAGCGGUGAAAUGCAUAGAUAUGACCCGGAACACCUAUUGCGAAGGCAGCAGGCUAAACAAAAUUGACGCUGAGGCUCGAAAGCGUGGGGAUCAAACAGGAUUAGAUACCCCAGUAGUC